CCCAGUCUGGCAUAGUGGUUUGAGUGUUGGACUGUGAUUCUGGAGAUCAGGCUUCAAUUCCCCACUAGGA
Phrynosoma platyrhinos (Desert horned lizard) is the source of this 70-nucleotide non-coding RNA. The record is from the annotation of a GenBank genome assembly. NCBI's taxonomy places the organism in Eukaryota, Metazoa, Chordata, Lepidosauria, Squamata, Phrynosomatidae.